GACGAACGCUGGCGGCGUGCUUAACACAUGCAAGUCGAACGGUGAAGCGAGUGCUUGCACUCGUGGAUCAGUGGCGAACGGGUGAGUAACACGUUAGUAACCUGCCCAUCACUCUGGGAUAAGCACUGGAAACGGUGUCUAAUACUGGAUACGACCAACCCUUGCAUGGGGUGUUGGUGGAAAGAUUUAUCGGUGAUGGAUGGACUCGCGGCCUAUCAGCUUGUUGGCGGGGUAAUGGCCCACCAAGGCGACGACGGGUAGCCGGCCUGAGAGGGUGACCGGCCACACUGGGACUGAGACACGGCCCAGACUCCUACGGGAGGCAGCAGUGGGGAAUAUUGCACAAUGGGCGAAAGCCUGAUGCAGCGACGCCGCGUGAGGGAUGACGGCCUUCGGGUUGUAAACCUCUUUCAGCAGGGAAGAAGCGAAAGUGACGGUACCUGCAGAAGAAGCACCGGCUAACUACGUG
Molecule: ribosomal RNA, 469 nt
Filed under: uncultured bacterium
Lineage: Bacteria
Description: partial 16S ribosomal RNA
Rfam family: Bacterial small subunit ribosomal RNA
Source: RNAcentral